Molecule: long non-coding RNA, 1144 nt
Organism: Epinephelus fuscoguttatus (brown-marbled grouper)
Lineage: Eukaryota; Metazoa; Chordata; Actinopteri; Perciformes; Serranidae
Exons: 10
Source: RefSeq, a predicted model, not a curated record
AACAUCCUUGCACAGCUGAAAGAAAAGGAUCAUGUUGUCAUACUUGGUGAUGGCAGGAUGGACUCACCAGGGCAUUGUGCGCAAUACUGCACCUAUACCACUAUAGAGCAAGAGUCCAGAGAUACUGUCCACAUUGUAACCAUAGACAAGAGACAGACGAAUCGGAAUUCAGUGAUUAUGGAGAAGGAAGGGUUCAUCAAGACCAUGGAUGCUCUGCCGCAGAAAAUUCCAGUGAAAUAAGUGGUCACAGAUGCCCACAGACAAAUCACAGCAUUACUAGAUCCAACACGGGGAAAAUACAGACAGUGGGGUCUUCAUCACUCCCUGGACAUUUGGCAUGCAGCCAAGAACCUCGCAAAGAAACUGAAGGCUGCUGGUUCAAUCAAAAAGCAAUCAGCAAUACUGCAGUGGCUGAGACACAUUGUCAACCAUUUCUGGUAUUGCUGCAAACAAGCCACAAUGGAAGAGAAAUUCAAAAUAAUGUGGCAUGGUGUUCUACACCAUGUAAGGGGCAAGCACCAGUGGUCUUUUGCCAGCUGCGAACAUGGUCCACUUGAGGAUGCCAGCAGAGACAAGCCAUGGAUGGUGCAAGGUUCUCCAGCACACCAGGCUUUGACAGCAGUUGUCAUGGAUCAAGAAUGUGAAGACGUUUCUCAACUUUCGAACAACAUUGGACCUCGAAAGUUUCCAGAACCACAUACUCACGUAUGCUGGAAAACGAUUUGCAUACAGCCCACCGGUGUAUGAGGCACGCACUCUCCUUGCAGCUAUUGACUACAACUACCACAACAACAGGCCUGCUGCACUGAAUUCUGAGGGCAACAAAUUGAACAAAAGGCACUACAAUAAAAAAACAAAAACUUGGAGUGUUUACACUGUGAAGACUCCAAAGACAUACAGCUACAUACCAGAACUACAAAGGAGUAUCCUCACACAACGCCUGACAUCUGGGAAGGGACUCCCCAAAACAAGACCCUUGAGGCCAGAUGACCCAAGGACACUUGGUCUACUAGCUGAAGUUCCACCACCAUCAACAGCAGAAAUCGUGCAUGCACGGAUCCAACGAGGAGAGAACGUGCCUUUGUAAAAUCUCAGGCCAGACACUGCCAUCAACGUGAACACAGCAGGAUGGAGAGCCUCUGCC